CUGUGAUGGGUGGAGCCAUAUGCCUCAGCAAAAGCUCACGGAGAUAUUUAAAUUCACACCUGUGGGAGCUGCGCUACCCUGCAGGAUGACCACUAAAAUUUUCAACUGGAGGUACAGAUCCCUUUCAACGGGAUUCCCACAUUAAGAAGUUGGUGCAGCAGAAAUGAACAAAAAGUAAUAUUCAAAGGCCUGAUUCAGCACUCCAUAUUCCUUACAGACUAAACUCUUCCACUACCAGCAUUGCUGUUCCACCCAGAAAAGGAACUUGCCACCAGCAACAUCCCUGGCUUCGUGCAUCCCACCCUAGGUCUGCGGUAGUGUUAGUGGAAAGGUUGAUCUACCAACUCUGUCUUUUUUAGCCCUUUUGGAUUGGGACACCCACUGAAGCUGGUGGGCCUACCAGCGGGUUCUGAAUGUGCGUCUCCCAGUAGAAUGCCUUGGCGACUAUGCUAUAGGCUAUCUAGGGGUUCGAGAACAUCUAUCUCAGUUUUGCCUCUUAAAGCUGUUCUGAUUUGUAAGAAAUGUUAAAAAUGCAUUAGGCUAGAGAGAGAGCAGCAGGGAGCUUGAUUCUGUGACCUAGUGGUCAGGGCCUGGAGAGGGGAGAGCUUGGUUCCAGUCCCUGCUCCAAUGAGGAUGCGUCUA
This is a long non-coding RNA of Gavialis gangeticus (Gharial), 642 nucleotides long. RefSeq lists it as uncharacterized. The record is from RefSeq and is a predicted model, not a curated record. The transcript has 3 exons. NCBI's taxonomy places the organism in Eukaryota, Metazoa, Chordata, Crocodylia, Gavialidae.